This 232-nucleotide ribosomal RNA is filed under the name uncultured bacterium. RNAcentral describes it as "partial 16S ribosomal RNA". It matches the Rfam family "Bacterial small subunit ribosomal RNA", at positions 99 to 334 of the family's 1533-position model. The record is from RNAcentral.
CGAACGGGUGAGUAAUACAUCGGAACGUGCCCAGUAGUGGGGGAUAGCCCGGCGAAAGCCGGAUUAAUACCGCAUACGACCUAUGGGUGAAAGCGGGGGAUCGCAAGACCUCGCGCUAUUGGAGCGGCCGAUGUCGGAUUAGCUUGUUGGUGAGGUAAAAGCUCACCAAGGCGACGAUCCGUAGCUGGUCUGAGAGGACGACCAGCCACACUGGGACUGAGACACGGCCCAG